Molecule: transfer RNA, 67 nt
Filed under: Marmota monax (woodchuck)
Lineage: Eukaryota; Metazoa; Chordata; Mammalia; Rodentia; Sciuridae
Description: tRNA.Ala
Source: RNAcentral
UGUUAGGUCAGUGGUAGAGUGCUUGCUUAGCAUGCAUGAGUCCCAGGGUUCAAUCCCAGCAUGACAA